This 775-nucleotide ribosomal RNA is filed under the name uncultured Neocallimastigales. Its description in RNAcentral is "partial large subunit ribosomal RNA". It matches the Rfam family "Eukaryotic large subunit ribosomal RNA", at positions 22 to 628 of the family's 3401-position model. Lineage: Eukaryota; Fungi; Neocallimastigomycota; Neocallimastigomycetes; Neocallimastigales. The record is from RNAcentral.
GUACACGCUGUGACUAGCAUAUCAAUAAGCGGAGGAAAAGAAACUAACAAGGAUUCCCCUAGUAACGGCGAGUGAAGCGGGAAGAGCUCAAAUUUGAAAUCUUAAAGGGUUUCCCUUUACGAAUUGUAGUUUAAAGAAGUGUUUUCUGUUGAGGUUUUGGUAAAAGUUCUUUGGAAUCAGGACAUCAUAGAGGGUGAGAAUCCCGUAUUUGACCUUUACUUUCAACUUUGUGAUACACUUUCAAAGAGUCGGAUUGUUUGGGAAUGCAGUCCAAAAUGGGUGGUAAAUUUCAUCUAAAGCUAAAUAUUGGCGAGAGACCGAUAGCGAACAAGUACCGUGAGGGAAAGAUGAAAAGAACUUUGAAAAGAGAGUUAAACAGUACGUGAAAUUGUCAAAAGGGAAGCGUUUGACACCAGUGUUGUUUUUCUGAAAAUCAAUUAAAGAACUGUUUAUGCUAAGCUGUUUAGACUUUAUCAGCUAUCUGUUUAGUUUUGAGCUUUUCUUUAAUGCACUUUUCAGUUAACAAGUCAACAUCAAUUUCUUUUGCUGUAAAAAAGCUUGAGGAAGGUGGCUUGAGAUUCGUCUUAAGUGUUUAUAGCCUCUUGCCUAUGCAGUCGGAGAGAUUGAGGUCUGCAGCGUAGAUCCUUCGGGGCUAAAUGCAUUUGUGCUAAGUUAUAGCAUUUUAUAGACAACUUGUUGACUAUGAUUUGUCUUGUAGCUUACUCGCUUAUGUUAUUUUACCUACGCUUAGGAUGUUGAGUCGUAGAGCACGCAG